UACGGGGGGGGCAAGCGUUGUUCGGAAUUACUGGGCGUAAAGGGCUCGUAGGCGGCCAACUAAGUCAUACGUGAAAUCCCUCGGCUUAACCGGGGAACUGCGUCUGAUACUGGAUGGCUUGAGUUCGGGAGAGGGAUGCGGAAUUCCAGGUGUAGCGGUGAAAUGCGUAGACAUCUGGAGGAACACCGGUGGCGAAGGCGGCAUCCUGGACCGAUACUGACGCUGAGGAGCGAAAGCCAGGGGAGCAAACGGG
RNAcentral lists this ribosomal RNA (253 nucleotides) under uncultured bacterium. RNAcentral describes it as "partial 16S ribosomal RNA". It matches the Rfam family "Bacterial small subunit ribosomal RNA", at positions 524 to 776 of the family's 1533-position model. The record is from RNAcentral.